GACGAACGCUGGCGGCGUGCUUAACACAUGCAAGUCGAACGCUGAAGCUCAGCUUUUGUUGGGUGGAUGAGUGGCGAACGGGUGAGUAACACGUGAGUAACCUGCCCCCUUCUUUGGGGUAACGCCCGGAAACGGGUGCUAAUACUGGAUAUUCACUGGUCUUCGCAUGGGGGUUGGUGGAAAGGGUUUUUCUGGUGGGGGAUGGGCUCGCGGCCUAUCAACUUGUUGGUGGGGUGAUGGCCUACCAAGGCUUUGACGGGUAGCCGGCCUGAGAGGGUGACCGGUCACAUUGGGACUGAGAUACGGCCCAGACUCCUACGGGAGGCAGCAGUGGGGAAUAUUGCACAAUGGGCGCAAGCCUGAUGCAGCGACGCCGCGUGAGGGAUGGAGGCCUGCGGGUUGUGAACCUCUUUCGCUCAUGGUCAAGCCGCAACAAUGGUUGUGGUGAGGGUAGUGGGUAAAGAAGCGCCGGCUAACUACGUG
Molecule: ribosomal RNA, 483 nt
Filed under: uncultured bacterium
Lineage: Bacteria
Description: partial 16S ribosomal RNA
Rfam family: Bacterial small subunit ribosomal RNA
Source: RNAcentral